ACGGGUGAGGAAUACAUCGGAAUUUGCCCUGUCGUGGGGGAUAACGUAGGGAAACUUACGCUAAUACCGCAUACGACCUAACGGUGAAAGCGGGGGAUCGCAAGACCUCGCGCGGUUGGAUAAGCCGAUGUCAGAUUAGCUAGUUGGCGGGGUAAAGGCCCACCAAGGCGACGAUCUGUAGCUGGUCUGAGAGGAUGAUCAGCCACACUGGGACUGAGACACGGCCCAGACUCCUACGGGAGGCAGCAGUGGGGAAUAUUGGACAAUGGGGGCAACCCUGAUCCAGCAAUGCCGCGUGUGUGAAGAAGGCCUUCGGGUUGUAAAGCACUUUUAUCAGGAGCGAAACACGUAAGGUUAAUAACCUUGCGGACUGACGGUACCUGAGGAAUAAGCACCGGCUAACUUCGUGCCAGCAGCCGCGGUAAUACGAAGGGUGCAAGCGUUACUCGGAAUUACUGGGCGUAAAGCGUGCGUAGGUGGUUUCUUAAGUCUGCUGUGAAAGCCCCGGGCUCAACCUGGGAAUUGCAGUGGAUACUGGGGAGCUAGAGUGCGGUAGAGGGUAGUGGAAUUCCCGGUGUAGCG
This 582-nucleotide ribosomal RNA is filed under the name uncultured bacterium. RNAcentral describes it as "bacterial SSU rRNA". It matches the Rfam family "Bacterial small subunit ribosomal RNA", at positions 102 to 680 of the family's 1533-position model. The record is from RNAcentral.